RNAcentral lists this transfer RNA (72 nucleotides) under Salmo salar (Atlantic salmon). It matches the Rfam family "tRNA". From Rfam's summary of the family: Transfer RNA (tRNA) molecules are approximately 80 nucleotides in length. Their secondary structure includes four short double-helical elements and three loops (D, anti-codon, and T loops). Further hydrogen bonds mediate the characteristic L-shaped molecular structure. tRNAs have two regions of fundamental functional importance: the anti-codon, which is responsible for specific mRNA codon recognition, and the 3' end, to which the tRNAs corresponding amino acid is attached (by aminoacyl-tRNA synthetases). tRNAs cope with the degeneracy of the genetic code in two manners: having more than one tRNA (with a specific anti-codon) for a particular amino acid; and 'wobble' base-pairing, i.e. permitting non-standard base-pairing at the 3rd anti-codon position. The record is from Rfam by way of RNAcentral. Lineage: Eukaryota; Metazoa; Chordata; Actinopteri; Salmoniformes; Salmonidae.
GAUCCAGUGGCCUAAUGGAUAAGGCAUCAGCCUCCGGAGCGGGGAUUGUGGGUUCAAGUCCCACCUGGGUCU